This is an RNA transcript of Myotis brandtii (Brandt's bat), 1851 nucleotides long. It is a transcript of the gene named tigger transposable element-derived protein 1-like, with no coding region annotated. The transcript has 3 exons. The record is from RefSeq and is a predicted model, not a curated record. NCBI's taxonomy places the organism in Eukaryota, Metazoa, Chordata, Mammalia, Chiroptera, Vespertilionidae.
AGCCGGGCCCUCCCUGCGCGCGUGCGCAUCGCGACGGUCGUUCGUGUUGGCAGGCGGUAGGCGUCCCUGCGUGUCCAUGGUAACCAGUGGAGCCGACUCUGGUCCAGCGCAACCCCGGGGCGUUGGAAAGGCAAGAAGAGGUCAAGAGGCUGCCGUUGUGGGCACAGUGGGAGCUACUGAGGAGGGGCAAGGGGUACAGAGCUCGUCGAGGUGCCUGGCGCUCGGAGGCGGGAUGAAGACAACCCCCCACCGUCAGGUGUCGGGCAAGGCACCCCUGGGUGGGAUUGGCCUCCACCACAGUGCCCAGCGGGACAGGAAGUCCAUCACCCUGCAUGUGAAACUGGAGGUGCUUCGCAGGUUUGAAGAGGGUGAGAAGCUGACGCAGAUCGCCCGGGCUCUGGGGCUGGCCACCUCCACAGUCGCCUCGAUCCGUGUCAACAAAGACAAGAUCCGGGCCAAUUCUCAGGCCUCGACGCCCGUCAGCGCUGAGCAGCUGACCCGCUGCCGGGUGUGGUGAUGGGGCAGAUGGGGCGCCGGCUGAGCCUGUGGGUCGAGGAGCAGAGGCGGCAGCACCUGCCAGUCAGCACGCGGCUCAUCCGGGACCGGGCGGGGCAGGAGCAGGGCGAUGGCGCUCAGGCUGAGACCUUUGGUGCCAGCAAUGGCUGGUUUGCCCGUUUCAAGGCACGCCGCAACGUGCUGCUCACGGAUGAGCCGGCGGUGGCUGACGCCCAGGCCGCUGCCUGCUACCCCUCCGUGCUGCGCCGCAUCCUGGAGGAGGGCUGCUACUCCUCGCAGCAAGUCUUCAACGUGGACGAGACGGGCCUUUUCUGGAAGCGGCUGCCCGAGCGCAUGCUGCUGGCGCUGGAGGGGGCAGCCAGGCCCGGGCCCAAGGCCCCUAAGGACCACCUGACCCUGCUGCUGGGGGCCACACAGCUGGUGACUUCAGGCUGAAGCCGCUGCUGCUGUACCCCUCCGAGAACCCGCGCGCCCUCAAGGGCUGCUCCAAGGCCAGCCUGCCUGUGGUCUGGCGCUCCAAACGACUGGCUGACACCCAGCAUCUUCCAGGACGGGUUCACCGGCUGCUUCUGCCCUGCGGUGGAGAGCUACUGCGCCAGCCACGGCCUCCCGCACCGGGCCCUGCUGCUCCUGGACAGCGCCCCUUGCCACCCUCCCACCUGGGCAGCCUCUCCGCCCACGUGCGUGUGGAAUUCCUGCCCAAGAACACCUCGGCCCUGAUCCAGCCCAUGAACCAGGGCGUCAUCGCCGCCUUCAAGGCCCAUUACCUGCGCCGCACGCUGGGCCAGCUGGUCCGGGAGAAGGCUGGUGGAGGCCGGCCCUCCACGCGGGAGUUCUGGCGCAGCUAUACCGUCAUGACGGCCGUGGACAACAUCGCCCAGGUUUGGGCAGAGCUGCAGCCUGUCACCAUGAACAGAGCCUGGAGGAAGCUCUGGCCCGAGUGCGUGCCCCCUGGCACUGUGGAGCCCGACACAGACCCCAGAUCCGCCGCGGCAUCGGGGCACUAGCCAGCCACGUGGGCCUCGGGGACAUGGCGGAGGCCGAUGCUGCCUGCCUGUUGCAGACCCAUGUGGAACCCCCACCCUGUGGAACCCCCCAGGAGGCUGAGGAUGGAGAUGCCAGUGGCUCUGGGAUGGCCUGGGAGGCAGGGAAAGGCCUGACCAACAGAAGCCUGGAACUGGGUCUCACUGAGGCUGUGGUGGGUGCAGGGCCGGAGGAAGCUGGUGUGGGUGCGCUGAGCUCUGAGCACCCGGCCCAGGCCCUGUCCCACUUCACCGCUGACCUGCGGGUCCUCACAGAGAACGGUCCCACCCGGGAGCGCCGCCUGCGGGUGUC